This is a long non-coding RNA of Ostrea edulis (European flat oyster), 1192 nucleotides long. RefSeq lists it as uncharacterized. The record is from RefSeq and is a predicted model, not a curated record. NCBI's taxonomy places the organism in Eukaryota, Metazoa, Mollusca, Bivalvia, Ostreida, Ostreidae. The transcript has 2 exons.
CUGGCACGAGCCGCGUAGCGGCGAGUGAUCAGUCCCGUAUCUGACACAAUUGACCAUCGGAGUCUUGUAUCUUACUUAAAACAUUGUUCUAUCUAAAAACAAAUGCAUUUAAAGGCAAAAAACCCACGUACAAAUAUACAUUGGUAUAGACAGAUAUAUUUACACCUUUCGUUUCUGAUUUGUUUUUUAAUAUUUAAUAUAUUAGGAAUUCAUAAACUUUAAUGGCACACAAGGUCAACUCUUGUCUUUAAUUCACAAAAAACUGUUAGCUCAUCAUUUCAAUUGUCAUAAUAUGAUACUCCUCAAAACAGGGUUUUGUUCUUCAUGGAAAGCGAUUCGAAUGCUUCUAUUGUCUGAAGACUGUACUCAACAAAACUGGUUUUCUUUUUUGGGUGAAUGAGGCUACGUAAAGGGUGUUCGGAAAGAAUCUUUUAGAAAAAACAAAACAUUGGUUUCCCACAUUCCUUUCUGGGAACCCUGAUGUGAUACUGACACGUGGGCCUAUAACUGGUAUAAAAACAGAAGCCGCAGCCCUCUUUUAGCAUUUAGUCCGGGUGCCUUGAAGAAAUGGAUUCAGAUGAUUGAAAAGUACAUGAGUUUGCGCCCCAGAACUGGAAAAUGCAAUGCAUUUUAUCUCAGAUCAAAAAUCGCUCCUAAGGGGAAUGUAUGGUACGACGUCCCAGUCGGGGUACAUCAACUGCAAUAGAUUGUGGCCAAAAUGUUAGAGGCAGGAUUACAAAUCUCUCUUCGGGCUACUGCCGCUACACGCCUAUAUGCUGCGGGUGUUGACGAGCAACUUAUAGCGGAAAAAACUGGUUACAGGUCAUCUGUGAUUCGCAACUACAAACGCACCUCCGAGGAACAAUUACAGAGUGUAAGUGAUUUGAUUCAGAAACCGUCCAGUGUCCCCGCCGGAGCCGAAGAAAGUAAAGCUCAAUGAAAGUGUUUCCUAUGGAUCAGAAAAAGAAAUAAACAUCACUGCCGGGGAUGCAACAGUGAAUUUGCGAUUUUAAUGUGCAUGUGUUUAAAUGAAUGAUUGUGACAUGGAUUUAUAACUGUGGUGCCUAAACGAUUUCAUAUACGGUAAAAUCGGAUUAUACAUGAAACACUCAUUUCGUAUAAUUUACUGAAAUAUUUCACGCCUUGAAUAUUGUAUUUGAUGUAUAAUAAAUAUGUUUUCUCGCACAACGAA